RNAcentral lists this ribosomal RNA (821 nucleotides) under Bacillus sp. (in: firmicutes). RNAcentral describes it as "bacterial SSU rRNA". It matches the Rfam family "Bacterial small subunit ribosomal RNA", at positions 371 to 1178 of the family's 1533-position model. Lineage: Bacteria; Bacillati; Bacillota; Bacilli; Caryophanales; Bacillaceae. The record is from RNAcentral.
AUGRACGAAAGUCUGACSGAGCAACGCCGCGUGAGUGAUGAMGGUUUUCGGAUCGUAAAGCUCUGUUGUUAGGGAAGAACAAGUGCCGUUCAAAUAGGGCGGCACCUUGACGGUACCUAACCCAGAAAGCCACGGCUAACUACGUGCCAGCAGCCGCGGUAAUACGUAGGUGGCAAGCGUUGUCCGGAAUUAUUGGGCGUAAAGGGCUCGCAGGCGGUUUCUUAAGUCUGAUGUGAAAGCCCCCGGCUCAACCGGGGAGGGUCAUUGGAAACUGGGRAACUUGAGUGCAGAAGAGGAGAGUGGAAUUCCACGUGUAGCGGUGAAAUGCGUAGAGAUGUGGAGGAACACCAGUGGCGAAGGCGACUCUCUGGUCUGUAACUGACGCUGAGGAGCGAAAGCGUGGGGAGCGAACAGGAUUAGAUACCCUGGUAGUCCACGCCGUAAACGAUGAGUGCUAAGUGUUAGGGGGUUUCCGCCCCUUAGUGCUGCAGCUAACGCAUUAAGCACUCCGCCUGGGGAGUACGGUCGCAAGACUGAAACUCAAAGGAAUUGACGGGGGCCCGCACAAGCGGUGGAGCAUGUGGUUUAAUUCGAAGCAACGCGAAGAACCUUACCAGGUCUUGACAUCCUCUGACAAUCCUAGAGAUAGGACGUCCCCUUUCGGGGGCAGAGUGACAGGUGGUGCAUGGUUGUCGUCAGCUCGUGUCGUGAGAUUGUUGGGUUWAGUUCCCGCAACGAGCGCAMCCYUUGAUCUUAGUUGCCAGCAUUUCAGUUGGGCACUYUAMGGUGACYKGCYGKUGACAAACCGGAGGAAGGUKGGG